RNAcentral lists this transfer RNA (76 nucleotides) under Myxococcales bacterium. Its description in RNAcentral is "tRNA-His". It matches the Rfam family "tRNA". From Rfam's summary of the family: Transfer RNA (tRNA) molecules are approximately 80 nucleotides in length. Their secondary structure includes four short double-helical elements and three loops (D, anti-codon, and T loops). Lineage: Bacteria; Pseudomonadati; Myxococcota; Myxococcia; Myxococcales. The record is from RNAcentral.
GUGAGUGUAGCUCAAUAGGUAGAGCACCGGUUUGUGGUACCGGUGGUCGCGGGUUCGAACCCCGUCACUCACCCCA